Priapulus caudatus is the source of this 299-nucleotide long non-coding RNA. RefSeq lists it as uncharacterized. The transcript has 2 exons. The record is from RefSeq and is a predicted model, not a curated record. Lineage: Eukaryota; Metazoa; Priapulida; Priapulimorpha; Priapulimorphida; Priapulidae.
AUGCGCCUUGUGUAGCACUGUGGGUACAGUCACUUAACUGGAUAUCGCCGCAAACGACACCGUGCUAGUUUGGAUUUUACUGUGUUUGUAAGUAAUGCGGAGAAGGGUCAAGUUGUAAUUUUUGGAAGAAAACAACAAGAUGGCAGAUUAGAUUCUCGGAACGCAUGUCGGGAAAGCGUGUGCACGUGAAGGAAGCAGCAGUCGCGGAUGAAGGUUUGCAUGACACGGGGCCAGAGGCACAGGAGCUCGUUCAGGUCAUCGAGUAUCGUGGAAGUAACAUGGAUAAGAACAACGAAAAU